Gossypium raimondii (Peruvian cotton) is the source of this 160-nucleotide non-coding RNA. The record is from Rfam. Lineage: Eukaryota; Viridiplantae; Streptophyta; Magnoliopsida; Malvales; Malvaceae.
GCUAAGAUGCAGCCUUUAUCUGCAUUUGCACCUGCACCUUCUUGUUUUUAAUUAUCUGCUUCUGCUUCAGAAACCAAAUGUGUUGAUGAAAAUAGAAUAGGACCGAAACAGAAAAUAAUAAUAAGGUGCAGGUGCAGGCGCAGCUGAAUGCCAUUUUGGC